RNAcentral lists this ribosomal RNA (200 nucleotides) under uncultured bacterium. Its description in RNAcentral is "partial 16S ribosomal RNA". It matches the Rfam family "Bacterial small subunit ribosomal RNA", at positions 524 to 723 of the family's 1533-position model. The record is from RNAcentral.
UACAGAGGGUGCAAGCGUUGUUCGGAAUUAUUGGGCGUAAAGCGCGUGUAGGCGGCUUUGCAAGUCGGGUGUGAAAGCCCUCGGCUCAACCGAGGAAGUGCGCCCGAAACUGCAGAGCUUGAGUACCGGAGAGGAUGGUGGAAUUCCCCAAGUAGAGGUGAAAUUCGUAGAUAUGGGGAGGAACACCGGUGGCGAAGGCG